CCUACGGGUGGCAGCAGUGAGGAAUAUUGGUCAAUGGGCGAGAGCCUGAACCAGCCAAGUCGCGUGAAGGAUGACUGCUCUAUGGUUUGUAAACUUCUUUUAUAUGGGAAUAAAGUGAGGAACGUGUUCCUUUUUGUAUGUACUAUAUGAAUAAGCAUCGGCUAACUCCGUGCCAGCAGCCGCGGUAAUACGGAGGAUGCGAGCGUUAUCCGGAUUUAUUGGGUUUAAAGGGUGCGUAGAUGGUUAAUUAAGUCAGCGGUGAAAGUUUGUGGCUCAACCGUAAAGUUGCCGUUGAUACUGGUUGACUUGAGUACAGUUGAGGUAGGCGGAAUGCGUGGUGUAGCGGUGAAAUGCUUAGAUAUCACGCAGAACUCCGAUUGCGAAGGCAGCUUACUAAACUAUAACUGACACUGAUGCUCGAAAGCGUGGGUAUCAAACAGGAUUAGAUACCCGAGUAGUC
Molecule: ribosomal RNA, 460 nt
Filed under: uncultured bacterium
Lineage: Bacteria
Description: partial 16S ribosomal RNA
Rfam family: Bacterial small subunit ribosomal RNA
Source: RNAcentral